This 254-nucleotide ribosomal RNA is filed under the name uncultured bacterium. RNAcentral describes it as "partial 16S ribosomal RNA". It matches the Rfam family "Bacterial small subunit ribosomal RNA", at positions 524 to 776 of the family's 1533-position model. The record is from RNAcentral.
GACGAACCGUCCAAACGUUAUUCGGAAUCACUGGGCUUAAAGGGCGCGUAGGCGGCCGAGCGGGUCGCGGGUGAAAUCCUCCAGCUUAACUGGAGAACUGCCCUCGAUACCACUGCGGCUCGAGGAAGGAAGGGGCAAUUGGAACUGUCGGUGGAGCGGUGAAAUGCGUUGAUAUCGACAGGAACGCCUGUGGCGAAAGCGAAUUGCUGGUCCUUUUCUGACGCUGAUGCGCGAAAGCCAGGGGAGCAAACGGG